AUCUUCUGUUAUUAAUGAUAUUUUCUAUUUAGAGAAUAUUUAGGUGAGGUUUUACUUGGACACCCGUAAUAACUAAAUAAUUAUGGAUAAUGACCAAGGCGGAUGAUUUUCAGUUUUGAGAAAGCUAUUUACUUUCUCAGGAUGUUCUUUGAAAUGAAAAAGAUAAUAACCGAGUUAACUUAAUAAAGUUAAUCAUACGUAAAUUAAUA
Molecule: unclassified non-coding RNA, 209 nt
Filed under: Candidatus Mycoplasma haematobovis
Lineage: Bacteria; Bacillati; Mycoplasmatota; Mollicutes; Mycoplasmatales; Mycoplasmataceae
Description: Candidatus Mycoplasma haemobos partial 16S-23S ribosomal RNA intergenic spacer
Source: RNAcentral